Molecule: transfer RNA, 73 nt
Filed under: Caudoviricetes sp.
Lineage: Duplodnaviria; Heunggongvirae; Uroviricota; Caudoviricetes
Description: tRNA-Arg
Rfam family: tRNA
About the family: Transfer RNA (tRNA) molecules are approximately 80 nucleotides in length. Their secondary structure includes four short double-helical elements and three loops (D, anti-codon, and T loops).
Source: RNAcentral
GUCUCGGUAGCUCAGAGGACAGAGCAUCGGCUUUCUAAUCCGUUGGUCGCCGGUUCGAAUCCGGCUCGGGACA